RNAcentral lists this unclassified non-coding RNA (281 nucleotides) under uncultured Bartonella sp. RNAcentral describes it as "partial 16S-23S ribosomal RNA intergenic spacer". The stretch from base 107 to 180 matches the Rfam family "tRNA". Lineage: Bacteria; Pseudomonadati; Pseudomonadota; Alphaproteobacteria; Hyphomicrobiales; Bartonellaceae. The record is from RNAcentral.
UCCCAAGCCUUCUGGCGUCUAUAAAGCGGGCCUUUAUUGGACUUUCAGGAAAAUUCUUUCCAUUUUAUGAGAUUAUGCCGGGGAAGGUUUUCCGGUUUAUCCCGGAGGGCUUGUAGCUCAGUUGGUUAGAGCGCGCGCUUGAUAAGCGUGAGGUCGGAGGUUCAAGUCCUCCCAGGCCCACCAAUUUAAUUAAGUGCUGUUAGGGUGCUUAUGUGUGUGGASGUGUAAURUACGUGUGCRUAGGAAUUAAAUUUUUAUCAAUGACGCUAAAGUGAUUUAAA